GCCUGAAUCCACAGUCAGGAAUAUUACAGGAUGAGGGAAUGCUAGUCAUUGAAUCAUAGAAAUCGGAAGAUGUAUCAGAGCUUGAAUUUGCAUUCCGUCUGGGUGUAAAAUGGACCAUCUUGUUUCCGCCAACAAAGAUACCUGCAAAGUCAGAUUUCAAAUAUUGAUUGUUCUAAAAUUUCAGCACAAAAUGAAUUGUUAAAAAUCUAACAAGAUUGUCGUCAGUUGUUCCAAACUUGUCCAGUUAUUAAUUCAUUAACAGAGUAAAUGCAACUCAAGAACAUCACCAUGACCACAGAGGGAGUGACAGAACUGGGCAUGUUUCUGAAAAAUAAACAACCAGUUAAAGUCUAGAUCCUCACAAUAGCUCUAAAAUGCUAUGACAGAGCAGUUUCCAACAACGCUAAUACAAAGUUGUCAAAGAUAGAAUGCAAGGGUACCACAAAAAGCAUAUAUUGCUGGCAUGAAUACUGUCCACAGAAUUAGGCAUAUUUACAUCACUAUCUGAGGCAUCAUGGAUGGUCAAUUGAAAGUCGCAAGAAGUCCAAUUCUGUAUACAUGGAUCCACGAAUUGUACUUGAGGAGAUACCACACCAAAUAGGUGCAGACAUUGAGCAAAAAGCCAAAAACGCAAUUUAAUCUUGAUAGUAUCCAUUCCAUUUCUGAUACCAUCAGGCCACAAAAAAAAAAAAAAUGGCAAACCGCAAAAUUGUUCUCCUGUGGAGGGUUAAGAACCAUUAAUGAAAAAUGUGAUGAAAUUGAUUGUUGUGGCCAUUGGCAGAUAAUCAUUAAUUAGCACAGAAUACUCAUAGGACAUUCAUAUUAGCCAUUCUCUGUCCGCAGAGCAACAAAAAAACUCAAAGAACACCAGUUUCCUUCUGCAAUAUAGGCCAUCUGAUGUGAGUGUUUCAACUUUCAAUACCUUUCUCUCUGUUUGAUUUCCCUCUUGCUUUUGUUAGACUGGCACUCAAAACGACAAGAGGGUAACAAAUAUCUAGUCAUCUGUCCUGUAACAAUUUCUACUCUCUCAUCUUCAAUGUUAUCAAGGUAGAAUGGUAAAUAACAAGCAAGGAAGAAUCAUGCGUUCACAUUUCAUCAUUGUAUAAAGAAAGAGGAAAAAAAAGUGGUUCUUUCUCCCAAAAUACUGUUCAGCUCCACUAGACCAGUUACAAUUGUCACCAAUCAUGACAGCAGAAAAAAUUACACGAUAGCUGAUAUAGAAUUUUACUUAGAGGGAGGACACUAUUACACAUGAAUCACUGAGUUUAAUAUUUAAUAUUAACAUUCCAGUGAAAAAUUUUAUGGUCUUCCAUAGUUCUCCAUUCUAGGAAAUCGCACAGGGAUGUGAAGCAAGGAGAAUGUUAUGGAACAAAAUGGCCAUGUGAUCCGUCAAGCCUAGUCAAUAGAUGACACGAGCUAAAUAACCACCAAUUUAUAAGAAAAUGUUUUGGUAAUUAAAAUUUUACAGCUGAAAGUUCUGAUAACUUGUACUCUAGACCAUCAUAAACAUCUAUAGAGGAACCCACAAGUAUAAACUUGGAAGCCAAGAAAUUUCAAACUUGUACACCUUAAACUCUCAAAGAAUCGGUUAAUUUCUAAACAGCACAGUGCAAAUUAGAUGUUACUAAGAAAUACAACUCAACGCAGUACAAUAUGCUCAACAUAGAAGUUGAAUUAAAAAGAUGAAAAGAAAUUAACAAGCAAAGGUUUGAAACACAAAUGAUUAUCAAGAAGGCCAGAAACAAAAAAGAAAUCGAAUUAAAUUCUGAGGAACAAACAAAAUGGAGGGACCAAAUAAAGUUAAUUAAAAUGCUUUGGAAUGAGAAUUUCACAAGGAACCCACAUUGCAAAAUUCUGCAAUGUCAAAGGAAAUGUACACACACACACACACAC
This 1893-nucleotide unclassified non-coding RNA is filed under the name Hevea brasiliensis (rubber tree). The record is from RNAcentral. Lineage: Eukaryota; Viridiplantae; Streptophyta; Magnoliopsida; Malpighiales; Euphorbiaceae.